AGUGAACGCUGGCGGUAGGCUUAACACAUGCAAGUCGACCGGCAGCACAGUAAGUGCUUGAUCUUACGGGUGGCGAGUGGCGGGUGGGUGGUGAAUAACUCGCCAUCUACUUUUUCGUGGGGGAUAAAGACGGGUGCUUUUAGCUAAUAUCACAUACGUACUACGUGUGAAAGCAGUGGAUCUUAUGAGCUUGCGCGGAUGACUGAGCCGAUGUCGGAUUAGCUGGUUGGCGAGGUAAAGUCCAAGGCAGGCGACGAUACGUAGCUGGACGGAGAGGAUGGGCAGCCACACUGGAACUGAGACACGCCCCAGGCUCCUACGGGAGGCAGCAGUAGGGAAUAUGGAGCAAUGGGCGCAAGACUGAGCCAGCCAGACCGCGUGGGUGAAGAAGGCCUUCGGGUUGUAAAACCAUUUUGUUGGGAAAGAAAAGCGGCUUGAUUAGAGAACGAUGUUCUGACGGUACCCAAAGAAGAAGCACCGGCUAACUACGUG
This 492-nucleotide ribosomal RNA is filed under the name uncultured bacterium. RNAcentral's name for it is "partial 16S ribosomal RNA". It matches the Rfam family "Bacterial small subunit ribosomal RNA", at positions 29 to 507 of the family's 1533-position model. The record is from RNAcentral.